GACGAACGCUGGCGGCGUGCCUAAUACAUGCAAGUAGAACGCCGACGGAGGAGCUUGCUUCUCUGGCUGAGUUGCGGUCGGGUGAGUAUCGCGUAGGUAACCUGCCUUGUAGUGGGGGAUGACUUUUGGAAAGGAUAGUUACUACCGCAUAAUAGUCGAUGUUGCAUGACAUUUGCUUAAAAGGUGCACUUGCAUCACUACAAGAUGGCCCUGCGUUGUGUUCGCGAGUUGGUGGGGUAAAAGCUCACCAAGGCGACGACACAUAGCCGACCUGAGAAGGUGGUCGGCCACAAUGGGACUUAGACACGGCCCAGACUCCUACGGGGAGCAGCAGUAGGGAAUCUUCGGCAAUGGACGGCAGGCUGACCGAAGAACUCCGCGGUAGGUAAGAAAGGUUUCGGAGCGGAAAGCUCUUUUGUAAGGGAAGAACAAGCGUGAGAGUGGAAAGUUCACGCUGUGACGGUACCUAACCAAAAAGCGACGGCUAACUACGUG
Molecule: ribosomal RNA, 495 nt
Filed under: uncultured bacterium
Lineage: Bacteria
Description: partial 16S ribosomal RNA
Rfam family: Bacterial small subunit ribosomal RNA
Source: RNAcentral